This 481-nucleotide ribosomal RNA is filed under the name uncultured bacterium. RNAcentral describes it as "partial 16S ribosomal RNA". It matches the Rfam family "Bacterial small subunit ribosomal RNA", at positions 28 to 507 of the family's 1533-position model. The record is from RNAcentral.
GAUGAACGCUGGCGGCGUGCUUAACACAUGCAAGUCGAACGAAGCAUUUGCGACAGAUUUUUUCGGAAUGAAGUUGCUUAUGACUGAGUGGCGGACGGGUGAGUAACGCGUGGGUAACCUGCCUUGUACUGGGGGAUAGCAGCUGGAAACGGCUGGUAAUACCGCAUAAGCGCACAAUGUUGCAUGACAUGGUGUGAAAAACUCCGGUGGUAUAAGAUGGACCCGCGUCUGAUUAGCUAGUUGGUGAGAUAGCAGCCCACCAAGGCGACGAUCAGUAGCCGACCUGAGAGGGUGACCGGCCACAUUGGGACUGAGACACGGCCCAGACUCCUACGGGAGGCAGCAGUGGGGAAUAUUGCACAAUGGAGGAAACUCUGAUGCAGCGACGCCGCGUGAGUGAAGAAGUAAUUCGUUAUGUAAAGCUCUAUCAGCAGGGAAGAUAGUGACGGUACCUGACUAAGAAGCUCCGGCUAAAUACGUG